CCUACGGGCGGCAGCAGUGGGGAAUCUUCCACAAUGGGGGAAACCCUGAUGCAGCGACACCGCGUGAGUGAGGAAGUAUUUCGGUAUGUAAAGCUCUAUCAGCAGGGAAGAAAAUGACGGUAACUGACUAAGAAGCCCCGGCUAACUACGUGCCAGCAACCGCGGUAAUACGUAGGGGGCAAGCGUUCUCCGGAUUUACUGGGUGUAACGGGAGCGUAGACGGUUAAUCAAGACAGAAGUGAAAGCCCAGGGCUCAACCUGGGGACUGCUUUUGAAACUGAGUAGCUAGAGUGCAGUAGAGGUGAGCGGAAUUCCUAGUGUAGCGGUGAAAUGCGUAGAUAUUAGGAGGAACACCAGUGGCGAAGGCGGCUUACUGGACUGUAACUGACGUUGAGGCUCGAAAGCGUGGGGAGCAAACAGGAUUAGAUACCCCUGUAGUC
Molecule: ribosomal RNA, 440 nt
Filed under: uncultured bacterium
Lineage: Bacteria
Description: partial 16S ribosomal RNA
Rfam family: Bacterial small subunit ribosomal RNA
Source: RNAcentral